UACGUAGGGUGCAAGCGUUGUCCGGAAUUAUUGGGCGUAAAGAGCUCGUAGGCGGUCUGUCGCGUCGGCUGUGAAAACCCGAGGCUCAACCUCGGGCCUGCAGUCGAUACGGGCAAACUAGAGUACUGCAGGGGAGACUGGAAUUCCUGGUGUAGCGGUGAAAUGCGCAGAUAUCGGGAGGAACACCUAUGGCGAAGGCAGCUCGCUGGGACGUUACUGACGCUGAGACGCGAAAGCGUGGGGAGCAAACAGG
This 253-nucleotide ribosomal RNA is filed under the name uncultured bacterium. Its description in RNAcentral is "partial 16S ribosomal RNA". It matches the Rfam family "Bacterial small subunit ribosomal RNA", at positions 524 to 776 of the family's 1533-position model. The record is from RNAcentral.